This 796-nucleotide ribosomal RNA is filed under the name uncultured archaeon. RNAcentral's name for it is "partial 16S ribosomal RNA". The record is from RNAcentral.
ACGGGCGGUGUGUGCAAGGAGCAGGGACGUAUUCGCCGAAGUAUGAUAAUCUUCGACUACUAGGAAUUCCAGCGUGACGAGGAUGAGUUGCAAUCCUCGAUCUGAACUAGGGCACGGUUUAGGGGAUUUGCGUCUCCUUUCGGAGUAGCAUCUCAUUGUCCGUACCAUUGCCGCCCGCGUGUAGCCCAGAAGAUUCGGGCCAUACAGACCUAACGUAGCCCGCACUUUCAUCACACUUAUCGCAUGCAAUCCCCUAUGAGUGCGCUUGUUCCGGAGAACAAGCUGGCAACAUAGGGCACGGGUCUCGCUCGUUACCUGACUUAACAGGACGCCUCACGGCACGAGCUGACGUCGGCCAUGCAACACCUCUCAGCGCGUCAAGUAAGCCCUUUAGACUGACCAUCAUUCUGCUGUCGCCUCUGGUAAGGUUUCCGGCGUAGAAUCCAAUUAAACCGCAGACGUCACUCCUUGUGGUGCUCCCCCGCCAAUUCCUUUAAGUUUCAGCCUUGCGACCGUACUCCCCAGGCGGCGCGCUUAUCGGUUACCCUUCGGCACUGGAAAUCCUCUUGAGAUUUCCAAUACCAAGCGCGCAUCGUUAACAGCUAGGACUAAAGGGGUAUCUAAUCCCUGUCGCUCCCCUAGCUUUCGUUCCUCACCGUCAGAUUUGUUCUAGCCAGACGCUUCCGCCACAGGUGGUCUCCUUGGGAUCACAACAUUCCACCGUUACCCCAAGAAUACCUCUGGCUCCUUCCAAUCUCUAGCUUGACAGUAUCCUCCACAAGCCUUAUUGUUUGCA